GGAAUCUUAGACAAUGGGGGCAACCCUGAUCUAGCCAUGCCGCGUGAGUGAUGAAGGCCUUAGGGUUGUAAAGCUCUUUUACCCGGGAUGAUAAUGACAGUACCGGGAGAAUAAGCCCCGGCUAACUCCGUGCCAGCAGCCGCGGUAAUACGGAGGGGGCUAGCGUUGUUCGGAAUUACUGGGCGUAAAGCGCACGUAGGCGGCUUUGUAAGUUAGAGGUGAAAGCCCGGAGCUCAACUCCGGAACUGCCUUUAAGACUGCAUCGCUAGAAUUGUGGAGAGGUAAGUGGAAUUCCGAGUGUAGAGGUGAAAUUCGUAGAUAUUCGGAAGAACACCAGUGGCGAAGGCCACUUACUGGACACAUAUUGACGCUGAGGUGCGAAAGCGUGGGGAGCAAA
This 397-nucleotide ribosomal RNA is filed under the name uncultured bacterium. RNAcentral's name for it is "bacterial SSU rRNA". It matches the Rfam family "Bacterial small subunit ribosomal RNA", at positions 358 to 772 of the family's 1533-position model. The record is from RNAcentral.